CAAAAGAUCGCCAGAAAUUGUGGCAAGAAAUAGCCGACCGUCUGAAUUCCGAUGGAGUCGGCUCACAAAAAGAUCCGGAAAAAUGGCGAAAAACUUGGAGUGACUGGAAGGCAAACAUUAAAAGUAAAGCCUCACAAAUAAAAAAAUCAUCAUUUCAAACAGGAGUUGGGCCUUCAGUUAAUCAAAAAUUAACUGAAGUUGAAGAGAGAGUUUUAAAUUUAAUUGGUAUAACUGCUGUUUACGGAGAAUCCCAAAUUGAUGAGGCAGGAGUUCAGGUAAUAAAAAUCAUAUUGAAAUUAAAACAUGCUUAUUAAACUACAGUAAUUAUAGGAAUUGUAUGUAUUAUAGGAACCAAAUGGUGCACAAGAGUUGAGUGAAAGUGCACAAGACUUAUUAAACUGUAUGAUUGACAAUACUAUUUCUUGUGUACAAUCAAAUAAUUCUACUUGUAUAAAUGAAGAAUAUCCAUCUAAUCAAAAUACAUAUUUCGAACUGCCUCCAAAUGAUGAUUGCAAUCCAACUGAUUGUAACCCAACUGAUGGUCUACAUUUGAAUACUUCAUUAAGAAAUGUUAAC
RNAcentral lists this unclassified non-coding RNA (576 nucleotides) under Centruroides sculpturatus (bark scorpion). RNAcentral's name for it is "uncharacterized LOC111632534, transcript variant X1". The record is from RNAcentral. Lineage: Eukaryota; Metazoa; Arthropoda; Arachnida; Scorpiones; Buthidae.